GUCUCCAACAAUAAUCAUAGGCCUCAGGAUCUCUUCAACUCUCUUAACUCUCUGAUAAACACCAGUAGCGCAGCUUGUAUUGUUUCAAGUUUUUAAAUGUGCUUUAUAAAUAAAGUUGACAUUGACACUGAGUACUAGUGACAAUACUAGUGACAAUACUAGUGACGGUAACAGUGACGGUACUAGGGACGGUACUAGUGACAAUACUAGCGACAGUACUAGCGAUGGUUGGAGAAGAGCCUGAGAAAAGAGGUUGGGCUUUCGUGGAAAUGCCAUGUGAGGAACUGUGUCAAAGUGGCUGCAUGACAGAACAUACAUCCUUGUGGUGCUCCUGUUCAAAGGGAUGCACAGUCAGAAAAAGGCAAAGUAACUUUUAUGAGUGGGGUCAUGAGGGUGUUACGUGUGGUUGUUAAGGAAGGGGUGAUAAGUGUGGUUAUUAAGAAGGUGAGGGAGGGUUAAUUGUGUUCAUAAAGAAGGUGGGUGUGUGUUGAGUGUGUUUAUAAAGGAGGUGGGGAGGUGUUAAGUGUGUUCAUAAAAGAUGUGGGGUGUUAAGUGUGUUAUAAAGGAGGUGGGAGGGUGUUAAGUGUGUUUAUAAAGGAGGUGGGGGGGUGUUAAGUGUGUUUAUAAAGAAGGUGGGAGGGUGUUAAGUGUGUUUGUAAAGGAGGUGGGGGGUGUUACGUGUGUUUAUAAAGGAGGUGGGAGGGUGUUAAGUGUGGUUAUAAAGGAAGGGGUGUUAAGUGUGUUUAUAGAGGAGGUGAGGGGUGUUAAGUGUGUUUAUAAAGGAGGUGGGGGUGUUAAGUGUGUUUAUAAAGGUUGUGGGGGGUUAAGUGUGUUUAUAAAAGAGGUGGGGGGGUUAAGUGUGUUCAUAAAGGAGGUGGGGGAUGAUUAAAUGUGUUUACACAGUUUGUUUGCAAAAGUUUGAAUGCUACAUUUUGAAUGUUACAAUUAAACAGUUUAAGAGUAUGGUUUAAAUAUGACAGUUUACAGUAUGACUGUACAGUUUGCAACAGUUAAAAUGUUACUGUUUAAAU
Esox lucius (northern pike) is the source of this 1031-nucleotide long non-coding RNA. NCBI's taxonomy places the organism in Eukaryota, Metazoa, Chordata, Actinopteri, Esociformes, Esocidae. The record is from Ensembl.